RNAcentral lists this ribosomal RNA (497 nucleotides) under uncultured bacterium. RNAcentral's name for it is "partial 16S ribosomal RNA". It matches the Rfam family "Bacterial small subunit ribosomal RNA", at positions 28 to 507 of the family's 1533-position model. The record is from RNAcentral.
GAUGAACGCUGGCGGCGUGCCUAAUACAUGCAAGUCGAGCGAACGGACGAGAAGCUUGCUUCUCUGAUGUUAGCGGCGGACGGGUGAGUAACACGUGGAUAACCUACCUAUAAGACUGGGAUAACUUCGGGAAACCGGAGCUAAUACCGGAUGAUAUUUUGAACCGCAUGGUUCAAAAGUGAAAGACGGUCUUGCUGUCACUUAUAGAUGGAUCCGCGCUGCAUUAGCUAGUUGGUAAGGUAACGGCUUACCAAGGCAACGAUGCAUAGCCGACCUGAGAGGGUGAUCGGCCACACUGGAACUGAGACGCGGUCCAGACUCCUACGGGAGGCAGCAGUAGGGAAUCUUCCGCAAUGGGCGAAAGCCUGACGGAGCAACGCCGCGUGAGUGAUGAAGGUCUUCGGAUCGUAAAACUCUGUUAUUAGGGAAGAACAUAUGUGGAAGUAACUGUGCACAGCUUGACGGUACCUAAUCAGAAAGCCACGGCUAACUACGUG